RNAcentral lists this long non-coding RNA (213 nucleotides) under Olea europaea (common olive). RNAcentral describes it as "long non-coding RNA (OEUR_LNC008836)". The record is from RNAcentral. Lineage: Eukaryota; Viridiplantae; Streptophyta; Magnoliopsida; Lamiales; Oleaceae.
GGCCCACCAAAAUAAUAUUCCUGUGGUAUUAUACGAGCUGCCUCUUAGUCGUGGCCUCUUCUCCUUGGAAACGAACAAAUUCAAAUAUUCUAAAAUCCAAAUACCUAACGAUUCUCAUUUUUUCCAUGUUUUGGUUACGGCUGCUUUCAAAUUUAGACCAAAGAGGAGACUUAUUCUAAGUUAACAAUCAUCAUACAUAUAAUUAUUGCUCGG